GACUCCAUGAAGCUGGAUUCGCUAGUAAUCGCGCAUCAGCCACAGCGCGGUGAAUACGUUCCCGGGCCUUGUACACACCGCCCGUCAAGCCAUGGAAGCCGGGAGUGCCUGAAGUGCGUGACCGCAAGGAGCGUCCUAAGGCAAUACCGGUGACUGGGGCUAAGUCGUAACAAGGUAAC
This 179-nucleotide ribosomal RNA is filed under the name uncultured bacterium. RNAcentral's name for it is "partial 16S ribosomal RNA". It matches the Rfam family "Bacterial small subunit ribosomal RNA", at positions 1314 to 1500 of the family's 1533-position model. The record is from RNAcentral.